Molecule: ribosomal RNA, 42 nt
Filed under: Colletotrichum salicis
Lineage: Eukaryota; Fungi; Ascomycota; Sordariomycetes; Glomerellales; Glomerellaceae
Description: partial 28S ribosomal RNA
Source: RNAcentral
GUUGACCUCGGAUCAGGUAGGACUACCCGCUGAACUUAAGCA